RNAcentral lists this unclassified non-coding RNA (669 nucleotides) under Hevea brasiliensis (rubber tree). Lineage: Eukaryota; Viridiplantae; Streptophyta; Magnoliopsida; Malpighiales; Euphorbiaceae. The record is from RNAcentral.
AAAAAAUUUUUUAAUUUGGGCUUUGGAAGCAGAAGAGCCAGCUCAAAGCUAAAUUAAUCCAAAAAAAUGCCGAUUACUAGCAUUGCAAUUGGAUCUCCAGCGGAGGCUAGCCAACCAGAUGCCCUGAAGGCAGCUCUUGCAGAGUUCAUUUCAAUGCUCAUUUUUGUUUUUGCCGGUGAAGGCUCUGGCAUGGCAUUCAACAAGCUGACCGAUAAUGGGUCAACAACACCGGCCGGCCUAGUAGCAGCCUCUCUGGCUCACGGAUUUGCACUGUUCGUGGCGGUUUCAGUAGGUGCUAAUAUUUCCGGUGGGCAUGUAAACCCUGCUGUUACUUUUGGUGCCUUUGUUGGUGGCCACAUAACAUUGAUCAGAAGUGUUCUCUACUGGGUUGCUCAAUUGCUUGGUUCUGUGGUUGCCUGCCUGCUUCUUAAGUUUGCUACUGGUGGAUGGGAAACAUCUGCUUUUGCCCUAUCAUCUGGAGUUGGUGCAGGGAAUGCACUUGUUUUCGAGAUUGUCAUGACCUUUGGUUUGGUGUACACUGUAUAUGCAACAGCCGUAGACCCAAAGAAGGGUGACAUAGGGAUCAUUGCACCCAUUGCAAUUGGCUUCAUCGUGGGUGCCAAUAUCUUGGCUGGUGGUGCCUUCGAUGGUGCAUCCAUGAACCCAGCA